ACGGUGCGGGCUUCCGGCGGAAGCGCUGGAAGCAAGAUGGCGGCCGCCGAGAGGGUUCACAAAGGCUCUGGUCCAUUAGAGGAAGGAGGUCCCAGAAUAGCUGGGAAAUUACGAGAACAGCCUCACUGCACGAGUUGGUGAAUGCUGUGAUGGCGAUUGUAUGAUGGACGGUGAUGUUGAAACCAGACUGGGGAAUGACCGCCCCAUCCGGAGAGAGACGGGGUCUUGCUCUGUCAUCCAGGCUGGAUUGCAGUGUCAUUGAUCAUAGCUCAAGCGGUCUUCCUGCCUCAGCCUCCCAAAGUGCUGUGAUUACAGGUGUGAGCCACUGCACCUGGCCUCUUCAUAUCUUACAACGAAAAGCACCAAGGAUUCUCUUUUGUUGAAUUUGAGUUGGCAGAGGAUGUUGCAGCAGCUGUCAACAACAUGUUUGGUCAGAUGAAGACUGGGUGGAGAAGUUUGCUGGGAAGAGGAUAAAGAGGAAGGUGGUUGAGACUUCCCAAAGCAGAAAGCCAGGAGGUAAGAAUGACAGUUCAUGCUUCCAUAGGAGAGGCUGCUGCUUUCCACAUAGGGAAUUUCUGAGGUGAGUGGUGUUGGGUGAAUUUAAAGGAGAAGUUUUGGCUUUCUUAUCUAGGUGAGAAAUAUCUUAUGUGGGCUCAGGUAUUUGUGAUUGCUGCUGAGCAAGGCGGAUAUCUGAGGUGAGAAAGGAUGGUGAGUACUCUGCAUCACCAGCAUCCGCUAUCCUCCUAGUCUUUGGCAGCAGGCUCACUGUCUUCCUGUUCUUGCCCUAAUUCCAAGGGGGCAGAAUCAUGUAGAGGUCCCUUCCCCUCAGUCAGUACACAGGCACAAGGCUCUCCCUGCCCUCUCCACUUGCUCCUGCUUCUCCAUCAGGCCAUCCUGACUGUUGCUUCCCAGGAUAAUUUAAGGGCUCCUCCUCCUCAGUCCACCCUUUGAGCAGUGAUAUUUCCCUGAAUUCCUUCCUUAGCCCUCAGCACCUCUCUCCACAUUAUCCUUAUGCCAUGUCAGCCCCUUCUAUCUCCUAAGGUUAUAACGAUCUUUCAUUGUCCGAAUGAUAUUCUGAUCUCUAUCCCUAGCCCUGACCUUUCACAUAUUUCUGUUUGGGUGUCUUAUAGGCACCAUAAAUAAAGCAUAUCCCAAAUGGGUUUCAUCACCUUUCUGGUCUUUUUUUAUGCCCAAUCUUAGUUCACUUUGCCAUCUUCAACAUAGUCACACCCAAACCAGAUUCCUUGGUGCCAGCUUAGAUCCCUCACUGUAUUUCAUACCUAAUGCAUUACCAUACCCUGCUAAUUUUAUCUUUUAAAUCUUGCGUUUCUCCUCUCCAGUUUUCUUCUGCCACUGUUGUCUUGGCUGAGGCCUUAUCCUCUCUCCUGUGAAUAAUUGGAGUAGCUUCCUAACUGGUCUCCCUGCCCCAGGCCUGUUUUCCUCCUAUCCUUAGCAGCCAGAGGGAGCUUUCUAAAGGGCAGAUCUGACUAUCUCACUCUCCUUAAGCAUUCUAGGGACUCCCUUGAUUUAUAGGAUUGAGUCCAGCCUCCAUCAAAAGGGACAGAAGACCUCUCUAUGUUCUGAUUCCUGCUUAUGUCUCCAUAUUUUAUCUCCAUUUUAUAUUCUAGGAAACAAGAGUUUGUAGAUACCUGUAAAUCUCUGUUUUGAUGUAAGUCAUUCCUCUGCCUGCAGUGUCCUUUUCCAAUUUAUUUUAUGUGGCUAAUGCCUGCUCAUUUCUCAUAGCGCAGCCCAUUUACUGCCUUCUCCAGGAAGCUUUUCUGAAUCCUCCAGUGAGUAAGGGAGAGCCCACUGCUAAAAAAGGCCUAGUCAAAUCCUCAGGUGUACAUGGACAUCAAGAUUGGGAACAAGCCGGCUGGCUGCAUCCAAACCCUCCUGCGUUCCGACGUCGUGCCCAUGACCACAGAGAAUUUUCUCUACAUGUGCACCCAUUUAAAGGACUCGGCUUCAAGGGAAGCAGCUUCCACCGCAUUAUCCCCCAGUUCAUUUGCCAGGGCAGUGAUUUCACAAACCACGGUGGCACCAGGGGUCUGCGCAGGCAUGGCACUAAGUGUCCCAUGGCACAUUUGGCCCUCAUGGAGGCCUCAAAAGGGCAGGACCAGCACCCUCUUCUACGGAGGAAGGAACGGGCACAGCAGACUUGCGGAUCCUGCUCCCCUUCCCACUUCUGCACUUGGGGGUCUAAUGAGGCCUCAGUGGAACAUAGAAUUCCUCCCGCCCUGACAUCAUAGCUCCCGCCUGGGAGGCCUCCUGGAUGACUCCUUUCGCCUCCUCCCUUCCCUGAGAGCAGCCCCUGGCUCAACCUCCACCUCCGUGCUGCCUCGGACCACCUGCCCAGUCGAGCUGCCAUCACCUGCCAGGGUGAGCCACUGCGCCUGAUCAAGGCAUCACCGUUGAACCUCCUAAGAGGAAAACAUAAGGCUGUGCAAUACCAGGAACUGGGAUUCUAGGUUGCCCCAGACACCAAGGCAUCAAAAGCCAGGGGAUCCAGAGAAAACACAGACAGCCAAGAGAGAAACUGCGGGAAAAAGCCAAAAGGUUGAGAGCCACACCAUCUAGAAGCUUCCUGCCUGUGGUGCGGCACAGAAACAAGGAGAGUCAGCAAUUACCAGCCAGCCAAGGUCCUGGAAGCUGACGUAGAGCUCGUGCCGACGGCAGACCUGCCGGCCGUGGGAGCCGCGGACGUCAUCUGCAGGGACAGAAGGGGCAAGGUCUUUUCUGGGGUUCCUGCUGUGUGCAGCUACUAUGGGGUACCAGGGUGGGGGAUGCCCUGAUGAGCACAUUUGUCAAAUAAAUGAAUGACAGGAAACCA
This is an RNA transcript of Homo sapiens (human), 2830 nucleotides long. It is a transcript of the gene named peptidylprolyl isomerase E like (pseudogene), with no coding region annotated. The transcript is spliced from 13 exons. NCBI's taxonomy places the organism in Eukaryota, Metazoa, Chordata, Mammalia, Primates, Hominidae. The record is from RefSeq and is marked reviewed.